CUUUCCAGAGAUGGACUGGUGCCUUCGGGAACUGUGAGACAGGUGCUGCAUGGCUGUCGUCAGCUCGUGUUGUGAAAUGUUGGGUUAAGUCCCGCAACGAGCGCAACCCUUAUCCUUUGUUGCCAGCGGUUAGGCCGGGAACUCAAAGGAGACUGCCAGUGAUAAACUGGAGGAAGGUGGGGAUGACGUCAAGUCAUCAUGGCCCUUACGACCAGGGCUACACACGUGCUACAAUGGCGCAUACAAAGAGAAGCGACCUCGC
This 262-nucleotide ribosomal RNA is filed under the name Salmonella enterica subsp. enterica serovar Kentucky. RNAcentral's name for it is "partial 16S ribosomal RNA". It matches the Rfam family "Bacterial small subunit ribosomal RNA", at positions 996 to 1258 of the family's 1533-position model. The record is from RNAcentral. Lineage: Bacteria; Pseudomonadati; Pseudomonadota; Gammaproteobacteria; Enterobacterales; Enterobacteriaceae.